AUUGAACGCUGGCGGCAUGCCUUACACAUGCAAGUCGAACGGCAGCGCGGGAGCAAUCCUGGCGGCGAGUGGCGAACGGGUGAGUAAUACAUCGGAACGUGCCCAAUCGUGGGGGAGAACGCAGCGAAAGCUGUGCUAAUACCGCAGACGAUCUACGGAUGAAAGCAGGGGAUCGCAAGACCUUGCGCGAAUGGAGCGGCCGAUGGCAGAUUAGGUAGUUGGUGAGGUAACGGCUCACCAAGCCUUCGAUCUGUAGCUGGUCUGAGAGGACGACCGGCCACACUGGGACUGAGCCACGGCCCAGACUCCUGCGGGAGGCAGCAGUGGGGAAUUUUGGACAAUGGGCGAAAGCCUGAUCCAGCCAUGCCGCGUGCAGGAUGAAGGCCUUCGGGUUGUAAACUGCUUUUGUACGGAACGAAACGGUCUUUUCUAAUAAAGAAGGCUAAUGACGGUACCGUAAGAAUAAGCACCGGCUAACUACGUG
This 484-nucleotide ribosomal RNA is filed under the name uncultured bacterium. RNAcentral describes it as "partial 16S ribosomal RNA". It matches the Rfam family "Bacterial small subunit ribosomal RNA", at positions 30 to 507 of the family's 1533-position model. The record is from RNAcentral.